AAAGCAUCGAUUGCUGUUCGAGUCUGAAGGUAAUCUCUUUGGAAAGGAAAGUUCAAGUUCUCUUGCUGAGAGAGAGAGUUCCUGGGAGUUGGAGUCUCCAGACGAGUGUCUCUCAAGUGGAGAUAUUUUCUGACUCGAUCCAUAGGUAAGGGAUAGGAUCUAGCAAGUAUGUUAUUACGCUUAGGAAAGUUCCCCGUCAUCAAAUUCGAAUCCUUCUGCUUUCGAUGGCGCCGAUCUAAUAAUAUACCUUAUAAAUCCAAUAAUAUACCUUAUAAAGAAAAGAUCAAGACUAUAUAAUCCGCUAGCCUAGUUGCAGGGAAUUGGAUUUCUCAGUGCCCGUUGGGAUAAGGUGGAGUCUCUUGGGGCUUACAUCUCGCGCUGUAAUAGAUCUCUUUCCCUUAAAGGUGAUAGUUUCUCUUAAUAAUUCGUUCUUUCCUUUCACUCUAUCGAAGGAUAUGUGUAGGUCUAAGGCGCUGAUAGAUUGAUUUCCUUUCCAAGUGCUAUCUAAGAAGUGAGUGCUCAAUCGAGUUUCAAGUAUGACCGAGUAAUAGGAUUACAGCUUAUACAGGAAUACCCUUUUCUGCUUUUGCUUGAUUCGAUUCAUAAAGUGCUCAAAGAUAAGUGCGUUUUCAAUACCUAAGGCAAGUGUUCUAUAAAUUCGUUAAUAAAGUCCGGGUAGAAAUCAAUACGGAUGGAUUUGAUUGAAGCCUAUAUCUGCCGAUCUUUUGUUGCUCUUGAGCGAACGAAUAGGUUACCUUAUUAUUCCAUAUCCCUCUGCUGGAACAGAAGUCGAGUGGAUCAGUAGCAUCUUGGUAUAAGUAAGUACCGAUAUCGAUAUAGAGCAAUUGUUGCCGGCCUAAAUAGUUGGGCAGGAUAACUCCUGAUAGAUUAACCGAUCUGAGUUUGGUAUUUCCAUUCCUAUAGGAUUUGGGCGGAAUUCCUUUUUGAGAGAAAGAACCAAAUCAAAAGAAAAACAAUGGAGAUCCAUUCACCCUGUCUUUAGAUUCUCAUUCUAUGCUAGGGGGAACUGUUCUACUUUCAUGCAAGGCUUAUUGACGCUGAUGUUCGAAAUCGCUCUGUGUCCAUCUUUACUAACAUGCCUUUGAGAAAUAGAGUCCUUGGUUAUGAUUAUACUGUUCUAUGCCCUCGGGUUCCUUCACUCGCUUAAGAGAACUAUAUUCUUUGCUCUUUCCCCAGACACCGAGACUUGCACUUUUGACUGACAUUCCGCUUGUGUUCCGUGGAGUAGCUUCUUUAUCCCGUCGCAGGAAAGGAGCGACUACUCUUGCUUGGCCGUUAAGAGUUCUGCUAUUUUCUUCUUUUGUGGGGCAUCUUAUAAUCCUUAGUUUUGCUUGCUUCUGUGAGCAUAUCCUGUUCAACGAGUAUGGUUUCUUAGCUACUGGCAUCCUUUCCUUCGUGCUAACAGCCAAAGACCCAUUUGUCCAAUCCAAACCUAUAAGGCGCACAAAGAAGCACUUCUCUUACGAACGUUGGAGCAUCACUUACUCGCGAAUCCCGAAAGACAGACUUCCUGAGCACUUGCCUAUUUCUAUUCAUUUCUAUUCCUUGCCUAUUUCUAUUCAUUUCGAUUCUAUUAUUCUUUGUUAGGCUAUUCGCGGGGAAAAAGAAGGGCCUUUCCUCUUGGCAUCGAUCUCAUAUCUGUGUCAAAGAGCGGAGAUUCUCUUAUCUAUGUCUCUUCUAAACUAUGCAUGCCUGCUCCUAAAAUGCAUUCUUUGUUUAGUUCAUACACUGCACUCCUUCGCCACCCGGAGACAAAGAUUCCAUAAAUGAAGUUUCCUGCAAGCGCAAAGUAGACCAGAGAAUCAAAAGGAGAACGAUCUAAAGUAGAAAGAUACGGGUCUCAAGUAGGAGUAGGAUCUUAUGUGGGUAAAGAAUAUAGAGCUGGUGAGGAAGCCGGGUUCACUCAUAGAAUUAUUCAGAAGCUAACUACAGCGGAAAAGAAGAAAGAGUCAACCUAAAGCAUUAAAGAGAGAAACAGCCCUUAUGUUUUCAAGAGAAAGAAGAUACUUGCUAAGAUAGAUAUACCCCGUUUUGAAGCAAUGCUCUGUUAGGUUAAGAAUUGAUGGAAUAUGCGGAUCAUGUUAUUCAAGCAAGGGCAGCUUAUUUAUUAGAUGGGGAGCGGGUAGUUACAUCAAAAUAAGUAUAGCAAGCCCGAGUUCCCGGUUGAGUCUAUCAGGUAGUAAGCCGAUUCCCUCUUUUGCUUGUUUCGACCUUACCGGUAUUGUAUUGGUGACAGGAUCCGGGUAUCGAGUGCAACUCUUUCCAUUAGUAGUCAAAGGCUAAGUUCCUAGUUAAAGUACUUCCAUUAGCUGUUCCAUCCGCCAAGUCACUACCACAGAUGAGACUGACAUCGCUACUAACGACACAACUAGGCGAUUUAGUUACUACCGGCAAGACUUCACCUAGUACUUCCAAAGCAUUACUCGACCCACACAGGGUUUAGUAGCCCCUGACUUGCUUUCGUUCUCGUAGUCGUCCCUGGCGUUCCGGCUCAACACUUAUACCAUUACUCAUGAGAAUUCAUUGUUGUAGCCCAAGCCGUAGUCUUAUGCCACGCCCAGAGCAGAAAAAAACACGAGUCCUCUGUGUUUCAAAGCUGACACUACUAAGCCAUCAAGUCACCCAACUAUUAGAUCCACCCUAGUGUUAUAGAAAGAAAGUAUAGAUGGUAAGGCGGGGAAACAUAGAUAUCAGAUCUGAAGUAAGUAGUCGAUUUCCUAUUGAGUAGAGCAAGUCUGCUCCAAGCGAGUAAGGAUCUAAAUCAGUAGACACAGGGUGAGAUCGAGCUUUGAGGUAGGUGGUGGCAGUAGAUAGGUCAUAAGUAAAAACAGGCCUAUUAGCAGUAGUUGGUUUCCCGGUUGCUAGUUAAGGACCUGUUAGUGCUAGUGGAAUUCUCUUUUCUUGGAUUCAUUGCUAGAUGCGCUAUAGAUUAUACCUAUGCUUCUAAAUGCCCUAAUAAAUAAGUUCAUUAAGGGUUGCAUUAUGGUUGCAUUCUUAGAAGAACACGGAUAACUAAUUGAAUAAUGAAAAGCGAUAAAAGAAAGAAACACAUAAUAUAGAAUAGAACCCGGGCGGAAAAGACUGCUACUUACUAAUAUAGGAAUAAAAGAACUACUAGAAAGAGUCACUACCUGCCCAACAAACAAGACAACAACUCAUAAGUAGGAGAAUGCGAUCAAUAACAGGAAGACCAGAACUAGCGGUGUAAAGAACUUCUAUAAGAAUACUGAAUUGAGAAGGACACUUGGAAUCCAGCCGUAUAGGAAUAACGACUACCAUAUGGAAUGCAACUAACAACCAUUAGCCUUAAGUUGCUACUGAUAGGGUUCAGUCGGAAUACACCGAACUUGGUCAAGCGCCAAUACUAAUAUAUCAAUAAAAGAAUUGCACCGAUACCAAUAAGGACGGAACUACCAGCCAGCAGCCAGCAGCUGACGCUGACCUUACUUUUCUUCUUUCACUAAUGACCCGGAACCCUGUCGUCUGUAUUGCACCUCGGAUUCUUACACACUCCAUAGAGAUAGGCCUUACUCAUAUAGCCAUAAAACGGAUAAUACUUUCUAUUAGAAUAGAGAAUUGCGCUGGCAUUAGCAGGAUGAAACCGCUGUUUUUAAGGCUGCAUUUAGACAAAAAGAAAGACUUCUUAACGAAAUGGGAGGGAAUUCUUUCACUGCCGGGCAUGAUCCUGAUCCUGUCUCCUUGCUUACUUUAACUGAUUAAGAUAAGACUUGCUCUUUGGCACAAGAGAAUCGAACCUUAUGGCACGUACUCAAAACAGGCAAUCCGAAUAAACCCAAUGAAACAAACCAAUAAGAAGAAUACUAGAAAUAGGAACUAAGCCUGGCAACUACUACCCAUAAUGUAAGUAUUAAUACGGGAGGGCAAAAAGGCAAGUAAAUAAGGAUCGAACUAAGGGAGAAGGAUUGUGCUACUGGGUUGAGUUCUAUGAGUGAAUUUAUUGAUUAUGAGUUGGCAAAGGCAAAGCAAGGAAUAGCUACGUUAUAAUGAGUUAUUCCGGUUUCUCAUUUGUGUUUCUUAGUUUCAUUCCCGUUUUCUUGUUUCGUUAGUGCACAGUUGGAUUCGUUAUGGGCUGUGUCUCAGCCAUGCCCCCCAGGAGAAAGUAUCAUCGGUUUCAGUUCUAUUCAGGGGUUAUCGUCAGAGUAGGAAGAAAGAUGUUUGCUGAGCACCUGCACCAACUGUUAUCAAGGGAAGAGAAAAACAACUACCUUUUUUCACUAAGAAACUAGAAGCAAACUACUAAUAAACUAGAUUCAAAUCUCAUAUAAGAAAAACAUUCUAUCUAACAUGCAUGAGUGAACAAAUUAAUAGAAGAGUGGAACUGGAACAUAGGCAUUUACGAGCUAGCUACUAUAAUACAAAGAAGGGAUAGGCAUAUUUCAAAAAGGCAGGACAGACUUGAUCGAUAGGAUAGUAAGGAUGCCGGAUAGCAGUUUCAGAGCUAAAGCAAGGGUCGACAUACUGAGCUCGCUGGGGAGAUGCUAGAUGAUAAAAGGAACCCCGAUUUCGGUAUGAUUGAAUAUACCACUUUUUCUUAAGGUGCUCGCCCAAGGCUAAUUAUUAUAUCUUAUCUAAUGACAAAUCAUUCUUUCUUUCCCACUUGGCACUUGUGGUAGCUUAGCUGCAUUCCGCUUACUAGUUUUGUUGAGGUCGCUACUCUUUCUUCUCCUUGUUUAGGUCGGCUUACUCUUUCUUCUCCUUGUUUAGGGCGCUUACUCUUUCUUCUCCUACUGAGUUGUUUUAUGUAUUCUGGAAAUGACUGAUUCAGCUAAGGAUCUUACUUAAGCCAAAGAUAUCGUUAUGUUCUUAUUAUUGAUUAUGUCUAUAAGGGGUAAUUGACGAAUUACUAAUUCCAAAAGAGUCUUGACUAGCGCCCAAAGAGUCAAAGUAGGGCGUGGCCAAGCGGUAAGGCAUCGGGGUCCCUACAUUCGGAGGUUAUAAUCCUUCCGUCCCAGAUCGUUUCCAUCAUAAACUCAAGAUGGGAUCACAUUGUAUCCCACAUAAGUGUCAAAAUCAUAAAGAUAACAACCUUUUCUUUUGUUCUGAAUUAGGAGAAUGGAUUCUUAGAAUCCUAUUGCUUUCUAUCUUAUAUCUGACAUGUCAAAAAUCAAUAUAUUUGGAAAUCCAUGUAACGGGGCGGGGGGAUAUUUUGAUAUGGGGAAUCUAUUGGAACUUGAUUGUAAGGUAUAUAUGGAAGAAUUGUUGUAAGGGUAUAUAUGGAAGAAUUGUUGUAAGGGUAUAUAUGGAAGAAUUGAUUGUAAGGUAUAUAUGGAAGAAUUGUUGAACCGGUGAAAACAAUAUAUAAUAUAUCCUUAGAAUUGGAACUAGGCCUAUGUAAUCCGCUUGCUAUCCCUAUAUGUGUCUAUGCUAUCCAUGCUUUCCCUAUAUGCUAUCCCUAUAUGUGCUUAUGCUAUAUCAAAUAAGUUUCUUGUCAUUGUUGUAUUUCAAUAGCAAUGGCCUUUCACUAAAUCAUUUUAGGAAGGGGUGGAGAUCUCUUCUUCUUCAAAUAUCCACGAUUACCCCCAGUUACAAUAUGAUGAUUCGUAUACUUAGGGAAUGAACUAUCCGCUAUGAAUUUGGAGCAACUCAUUGUGCGUCGACUUGGUGAUGGAAUUAUAGAUCCAGUUCUUUAGUCAUGACUAUAAAACAUAGUUCCAGUCAUAAUGCUGAAGUGAAGUCGGAGAUCUUUUCAAACAUUCUUUUAUUAACUCUUGGUUGGUACUCGAAGAAGUAUGAGAAAUCCAUAGUAUAUCAACAAGAAAGGCAGUGAUUCAAGAGGAAUAAUUCCUAUCGGUGAAAUUCAUCUCUUCUCCCAGAUCUUCUUUGUAGUCCGGUAUAUGUCUGAAUUCAUCUUGUCAGUGUCAGUUAGAGGAAUUGUUUGACUUGGCUGCUUCCUUCGAUAAGUAGGUUCUUCCUUUUUUUGACUAUAUACCCCCUCGCUCUUCUUCUCCGUUUUGUAAGUGAAUUAAAGACGAACAUAAGAAAUAGUUGAACGAUCCACUUUUCUAUCCGGCUAGAAAUCCCAGAUAAGCAGUUUUGCCUUCUACACGUACUUUUGCCAAUGCAUCGGCUCUCUGUCCUAAAAACCACACCCGAAGAAAGGCCAGCCCAGAGCUGCUAUUCUAGUUAUUAUAGUCAAAAAGAGGCUAGGCAACGACUCUUCUUUGGUUAUUCUAGUGAAAAGAGGCUAGGCAACAACUCCUCUUUUGGCGGGAACACGAGCAAAGGCAACUUCCAAGUCAGCGGGUACUAGCCUGACAGCCCGACCUCACUAAGGAAUAGAAACAUAGAAAGGCCCUCAAUAAAAGGAAAGAAAGAGUCUCUUCCCCGGAAAACUCUCCUCUUGGUCAGCUGCUCCUCGGUCUCGAACGGUCCCCAGUUCGUUCCUUAAAACAAGAAUCCGCGCCUCUGGUCUUGUCUUGAAAUGAAAGCAAUCUCCUCUGGAAAGGCAUUACUGAGACGUCCGAAUCUCUUCUUAUCUUAUAUUCGAAGCAAGGACAUGUUGGCAGUGAAGUUCCACAGACGUGGUCCAGACAGAGACUAUACUUUCCCUUUCCAUUAGGGUUUUCUAUUGACCACAGACACAGUGCCCCAGAAAAGGCUUAGUAUUCGAUACUGUCGCAGGUGUCCCUACGGCUUCAGGCAGUUCUAUAGCCCGUGCCCACUUUCCCCACCGAGUCAAUCAAAAGUGUUUUGCUUUGGCUAAAGCCCUUUUGUAGAUCCAUGUGGGUCUCCGCCUUUGUCUUUUAGGCUAUAAGGUUGGCGCCCCCCUUUCCCCUGCCCCCCUGUCGUUAAAGAACUUAUUUAGACUUUCGCUUUCGGUUUCAUUUCAUCAGCAGUGAGGGUCUAGAAAAAACUCCUUUCACUGGUUUCCCCUAUACCCUAAGCCGGGCGACGUACGGUGUGACAGACAAAGAAGAUAUGCGUGGGAUUUAGUACCUUACGAAGGGGUAAUCCGACAACCUGUUUCAUCCAACGACAUCGAGGGAAACCCCAAGUCUUCGGGGGCAAGUAGACUAAAUGGAAUAUGAAAUCGCGGAUACACUCGGAACCACUCAAAUCAUGACGAGGUGAAAGCAAACUACUGCUGCAUUCUCAAUAUAUCAUAAGAUCGAUCUCAAAGUAAGGGCGGCAACUAUUAAUAUAAAGAAGGAGAGUGCGCGCUUCCCUUCACUGAUAAGACGGUACGAAAAAGAGUCUGCCUGCAUGAUCGUCCGCUACCUUAGAUUAUACAUCUGUCUUCGCCUAACCAACAUUACUGCAUUGGAUACUAGUGCAUACAGAGAAAAGCCCCUCUCGCUCAAGAUUUCAGGAGGUUACGACCUACUUUUCCUACAAAAACUCACCGCUUUAACUAACUGAGCUGCUUCCACUCCUUAAAGCACUAUCGCUUCCUACUGCUUUAAGUACCAAAAUAGUAUUAGCAUAUAAUAAGAUGAAGAUGCUCGAAAGGGUUCUUUGUCAAGCCAGAAAGCGCAAACCAAAGUUUUUCGAGAGGCCGACCACUUGAGACGGGUAUAAGAACUCACCCUUGUUAGGAAGUUUCCAGAGGGGCGCUUCAAUAGUGUAGAAAUGGGAAUCAAAGACGGAGGAGCCUAGCCUGAUUCUCCUGCUUCCUUCCUUAUCGCUAACCGAUGCUAAUCAUGCUUGACUUUACCUCUGAGAUUGUCCCCAGGCCCUUCUCCUACCUCUAUUGAUGGAAAAUAAGUAGGUCUGUGGUAAUGUCAAAGGUUCCCCACACCUUCUUUGUCUGAGUGCUGCCUCCUUCCUUCUUCCCGUCAAUCAUCGUUAAGGGUUUCAAAUCCAUAGGCGCUGCUAAAAUGGCUUCUUUCUGCCUUGGCUAUAGGAACAUAAUCUCCAUAAUAGGGCGGUUUGCUUCUGAGUAGUUCUGUCCUUCCCUCCCCUAUCCGAGAUGUGCUCUUGAAAGAUCUCCCUCUUCAGCUUGGUUAGGUCUUAGAGAAGUCACUUCUUUACCUAAGGUUGUAGCCAAGGGGAUACUUGAUUCUUCUAACAAAGAAGUAGCCAAGGGGAUACUUGAUUCUUCUAACAAAGAAAGCAAAGGAAAAUCUAUUAUGAGAGAAUCUUCCUUCAAAGAUGCUUUUCUCGAUUCCCCUACAUCUACGAAUGGCUAAAUGCUUUCUCACGUAGGGCUUACUAUAAGGGAGGGGUUCCGCUUUCUUUCAUUCCUAAAGAAGGAAGGGGAAGGUAUUUCCUCAUAAAGGAGUUUGUUCUUAGUAGCAGCCGGAUACCUUUAAAGAGAUAAGUCUACCUUUGUUCCAGCCAUUCUCAAGAUCUUUCAUUUCCGGUUUCAUAAGAGAGGAUAGCAUAUAGCUUAGCCUCAUUCCUAUAGCUCAUAGAGAAGUUCCUCUUAUCCAGCAUAUUUACAUUAGUCAAAUCCUACUGGUCGAUCAAUGGUUGUGCUUGAAGCCUUAUUCUCUGUAUCAGGCAAGAAGAGGAAAGGAAGGUAAGUUCGAGAUAUAUCAUAAGAAAGAGAAGAAAGAAAGAGAUGAACUCUUUAUAAGAAAGAGAAGAAAGAAAGAGAUGAACUCUUUGGAGCGCUUCUCGGCGGUAAGACAGACCGUGAAUGAAUAAGAAAGAAAGAAGAUAUAGUUCUAUUUCCUGCAUGAGGGAAAUCGACCGAUGGACAUGCUUGACUUUACGUAUAAGUAGUGCUAGGAUUACUUGCCUUAUUACAUAUGUCUUGCUAGUAUAUAGCAGUAGUCGGAGUAGCACUAGGAUAAGUCGGGGUCAGCACUUAGUAAACCUUUCCACUCAUACUUAAUAGUAUACCAUCACUGUUAGCAGACUGUGCCAUUCCUUACACUGUUAGAAUAACUUCUCAUCUCCCACCUUCUAUAAUGCGCAUAUUGAGACUGAGCUUGCUUGCAUUAAGCCUAUCGCCUGCCUCCCUAAGACCUUUCUAUUGUGCCUGUCGUUAACUCCAGUGUACCUUCCUUUCGGAGAGUGCCUUACUCUGAAGUAAUAGACUGAUUAGAUUGCCGGGAGUGGAUUCUUCUUUUUACCAAACAUAUGGGAAAAGGAUCCAAUCCAAUGACUUCGAAAGAAUGGAACGAGGAGCAUUCCACGGCCGGGGGAACAGAGGUAUCUCAUGGUUAGUUCUGUAGAGUAGCAGUAAGUGGGGAAUACUAGCUUGCUUUAGGAACUUACUAACUUCGCCGAGGUAACUAUGUCCUCAGCCGAGCCAACUUCAUCAGCAGUUCUAUAUAUGGGUGUUGUCGACACAAGAGAAGAAGCACAAUCCGGAUUAGCAGAUGUGUUUUCAAGUCCACUAUACUCAAUAAUUAGCUUUGCAUUAAAGUCAAGGUUGUCGACAGGAGAAUCUCAAGUGUCUUUCUUUUCUUCUAUACCAAAAGCUCAAUAAGAGAGAUAUUCAAUUCAAAGGUAGACAUCAGAAGAUGCUGUGCCAGGUAAAGUCAAGUUCCGGGAAAGAAUCUAUUACUGGCCGGGGAAGGUAAGAAGAAAAUACUGGCUACGCGGUUCAGGGAAGAGAAUAAUAAAGUACUUCCGAAGCAAGGUGUCAUGGAGACGCGACAUCAAGCCAAUAAUCUCUCUAUACUGUAAGUUAAGGGUUUAGGGCCGCCGGUGACGAAGAAAACACUUUGAUCAGGGUCCUUACACCUUUCCAUACUAUAUGCAAAAGAGAGAGAUUCCGCAAUUCCAGAAUCCGCUGGAGAAGGUUAGGAAGCAGUUCUGGUUUUGCCGACGAGAUCAGUAGAGUAUCUUUCCGUGCAAGUGAAGUCUACGAGAUCAUCCGGAUCUGAAUAAGAAGGGAAGGAGUGGAGUCAGAAGAAAAUAGCCAGUACCAUCUUCUGCCCUACCCAAAAGAAAGUAAUCCUUCCUUGCCUACCCAAAAGAAAGUAAUCCUUCUUUGCUCUUCCUUUCAUGGGGUUUAUUCUGCCGCAAUCCUUCUUUGCUCUUCCUUUCAUGGGGUUUCUUCCGCCGCCCUUAUUAUCUGUCAACAAACAAAGCAUUAGUUUGAGAGUGAGAUUCUGGAAAAGGAACUAAAGCAGAGGCUUUAGAAAGAGGAUCCGACCUCCCGAGCUUAUUAUCUUUAGAAAGAGGAUCCGACCUAGCUUAUUAUCUGUCUUCGGCAGGCAGGAUCGAAUGAGGAUGAUGGGACGAAUGAAUGCUUUUGAAACUACAGUUAAGAGCUUGCUUCAUUUGAUGCUAAGGAACGGAACCUUACUUAUCUAAGUUGCCGGAUAGUGGGAUAUGCCGUACUCUGAUUCAACCGCUUAUGUUCUUCGCCAAUGUUCCAAGGAUAAGGUUGAACACCUUCUAACAUAUACUUACGGACUACUCUGUUUUCUCACUUUUCGAAAUGCUCCUAAGGUAAACAACAUUUUGGACUAGUGGAAUUAGGAGACAAUCUUCUAAAUGUGCCAAGAAAGAGGUGCCCCAAUAGAUAGCUCUGCGGGACAGAUUCCUUCUUUGAGGCUUGGUAUGAUACGGUUCAGUUCCCUUUCUGCAAGGGCGGUGGGCCUGGACAAGUACGCUACUAAAUUCCACCGGAGUACUAAGAUCUAGAUCGAGACUAAGCUCUCAGCCAAGGAUAACUUAGAUGGGCUUCUUUCCCCACUAUUCAAUCCUUAGUUAAAGGGGCCGGUCCGAAAGCUCCGUUUUCUAUACAGCCGAACGCAUAAUUCCAGUUAUUUAUUGUCUCCAGAAAGCGAAACUACUAUCGUUACGCUGCACCAUCAUACGCAGGAAUGGAAUAUAGAGAACCGCUUCUUUAAUACCUUUCAAUAAACUCCUCACUUAGACAUGGCAAAACGGGACCCAUAAUAGGAACCCGUGGAUCUGAAGUCAACGCAGAAGGAUUGGAUUAUGCCUGAAUUAAUAGUAAAGGCCCUGCUUUCCAGGGGUGGAUUAGAGUUAGCAGAGAUGAAGGAAGUCGGGGGUGCUCCUACUAUUGGGGUGCUCGUUAAGUCGUUAAGUUACUGUGGAGCUUCUGUUGGGACUGGGCCUGGCAAUACUGUUCGAAUAGAACCUAGCUCAUUACUGCCUUCCCGCUUCAAAGCAUGGAAUUGACUCUGCCCCACCCUAGUAAUAGGAAUGAAACCACCUUCCCGGAUACCCAGUCCACAAAGAAUGAAACACAAAAGUAGGAAAGGUCGGAAUGACACUAAAGCAGAAGAAUGACCUGCUCCCUUAACUACAACUACCAAGUAUUCAAGUCAGAAGUAAGCCCCGCCAAGAGUCGAGGUGGGCAAGAGAGGCAGUUAGAGCGGAUCCUGUUCUAGCUUCUGAUUCAUAUCCUGCUCCAGCAAGACCAAGACUAGAAGUAAGGGAAGACUGAUUGGAAAUGAAUAAAGUCAAGGCUUUGGUGCGAGGCGAGAGAUGGCUCUUAGCACCUUAUUUGUUGAGACUCGGAUCAAGACUUAGUGGCGAGUUUACAGUGAAAAGUUCCAUUUGUUGAAUGAGUUGGGGCAAGCUAGUAGUUGAUUUAUUAUACAACAUAGCAAUCCGGGUGUAGCAAUGAAAGGUAUUGCUCGAGGCAAGGGGAGGCCCUUAUAGUAAUUGCCAAGAGAGGAAGGAGAGGCCAGUUGCCAGAGGUAUACGGAUGCGGCAGAUUGGUAAUACACCUUAAUGCUCGAUCAAGAGCCCGCCGGUUAGUUCAUCGAUUCUGCAUAAAAAUAUCGAUUAUUAUGUUAGGAUAAAGAGCUACUGUUGCUACUUAGUUUCAUUCUGACCUUACUAUUAAAGCCUCCACUCUCACUCUCACAGGAGCAGUAAAGUAUCUCGGAACAGUCGCUAGGGAUUGCAGAAGAUUGGUCAUAACCUUUCCCUUAACAGAAUCCGGGGAGAUUAGGUGAAAUAGCCGCCCUGUCGCGCCACUAAUAACUCAUUACUAUAUUCUUAUUGGAAUGUUUUCUUUCUAUCCAUCUUAUAUAAGCUUCUAUAAUAGACUUGACUUUAGUACACCUCGCAUCAAAGCCAAGAAGACUGGUAUGCCUGGUAUGCCCGGUAUGCCUGCUGGAUACCUAACAACUCUACUAAAGACAAAGUAAGCAUCAAGUGAUAAGGUAGCUGCAAGCGGGUCUUCACUGAACAGAUGGUUUUCCCCUUCCCCACUGCUCGAAGUAAAGUAUUUGGUUUUUGUCUUUUUUCUGAACUUGUAAAUUCAAUCUGAUAAUAAUAACAGAUCUCGGAUCUCGGAGAGCAGGGCAAUAAGAGAGGUGGACAGGCAAGGUCCAAUCUUUCACCAAGGAAAAGAGGUGGGUUCGGGUGAUGGCAAUGAGAGAGGCUCAACGCACCUCUGUGCUAACAAAGAUCGAAAUAUUCAAUAUGCGAGUUGGAGUCGGGCGCUAAGCUAAGAGAGUUCAAUUCCAGAAGCUCAGGGAUUAGUAGGUGGAGCAGUUAUUGACUUUCCCCUUUCCCGAGUCGGGUGCUUAGAAACUAUAAGAAAAGGUGUUAGCCCUUUCGUUUCGGUGGAAGUCUUCGUAUUAGAUAUAUAGAAAUAGGGGACAAUUAAGAGAUGGGUAACCAGCUAGAGAUAGAGAUUGGUAAGGGUAUAGUUAUUGUUGCCCGAGGAUGGGUAUGCAAGGGUGAAGAAGAAAGAUAUGGGUAUCAGGUAGAAAGAGAAGAAAGAGAAUUGCCUGUUAUAUAGUUCAAGUAGAAGUGAAAGUAGAUGUUUCAUCCUCUAUAGAAGCUGUUCCAGUGUUGGCGAUCAGAUGCUUGCUUGAUCAGAAGGUGUUUCAAGAUCCUUUCUAACGCUCUAAAUGACUACCUUUUAUUCCCUUCCUUCUCUCUGCUACAAGCCGAGUGAGAGUGAAAGUGGCAAGUAAAGUGGCUUGUGUUUCAGUCUGAAGCGGUACCUCGAGAUAGAGUUCAAGUGGCAAGUAAAGCUCUUAAAGCAAAGGUUUCCUGUUCCGUUUUCGUAUCAGCAUCGGCGUCAAGAGUCACUGUUGUGCGUAAGGGAGCUGCAAGUGCAAUUGCUUAUGUCAGGCGAUGAGAAGGAGUUGGCUUACCAGAAUCAACUGACAUACAUAUGUUUGUAACCAAAGGGAGAGGUAGCGGAACCUGCGAGGGAACUAGCAUCUGUCCCUUGAAAUCUAUAUUUGCUACUCACAAUAAGCUGCUGUUCCAAUGUUUGGCUUAGAAGCGGGAAGGAAAGAAAGGAACUCUCAUUAUUGAGUUUGUAGGAGUUGUUCUGGAGUCCUGUAUUUAUGGCUAAAGUGAGUUAGUAGGCUAUUCAGGUAUCAAACUAUCGAACAGAACCCACCCCUCUUAGACGUCAAGCCAACAAACACAUCAUUAACAGGCGGAUGCGGAUUCUCUGUCUCUUGUCAACAAUGAGGGUGCUACAGGGGCAGGGCAGGGGAAAACUCUACUCAAAAGUUUGAAUUGAACUCCUUAUUGCAAACCGACUAUAUUUCUUGCUGCCAAUAACUAUCUUGGAGACAACACUCGAACAGAAGGAUACAAAACGGUAGUAUACCUCCGCAUCAGAAGGAACUAUCUCUCCACGACCAACAUAAACAACUGGAGAGAGACUUUCUUACUUGCUCAUAACUCACUACCUUUCUACUAUUCUUCUCUACUUAACCGUUACGUGGGCAGUUUCGCAUUAAACAUUCCAUUCUUUCGACAACACUCUCACUAGGCGAACGAACAAAAAGACAAUCCGGCAAUUCAUUUACCAUACCCUCUUCUCUCUCUACUACAAGGAGCUAAAGGAACUCUACGACAAACAAAUACUUCAUUUCUAUCUAUCGAGUAAGCAUGUGAUAUAUAAUCCAAAGGGUAAAUAGACUGAACGAACAAGUCCUUUUUUCGUCAUGGCGGUAGGGCAGCUAAGAACCACUUCUCAAAUAGCUAAUUUCCCUAUGUUGGUACCCGGAAAACUGGAAUGGAAUCUCUCUCGUCAACUACAGGAAUUUCAUAUCUAUAGAACCAGUAUUUGAACCAACCUUCUUCUUUACCUUUUGAACCAACCUUCUUCUUUACCUUCUGAAGAUCUCGUUGAUGUCGACUUUUCUUUCUUCGGAUCCUUCUCUUGAAACUGUUUCUGAUCGCAGCUUCUUCACUUGCGGAUUCCCUUGCUUUAGAAUAUCAAUUAUGUGCAUUCACUACAAUAGACAGACCAGUGGGGAGAGUGAUACUUAUUUCAACCAGACGAGAUACUAUACUUUAGACGAUACCGAUAUCGCAUUAACCACAAGGCAGAGUUGGGACAGUGAACAAGCUACGUUUUGCUUUCCUUUGAGGUUGGUUUCUCUUCUCUUCCAUCUGCCACGGAACCGUCGUGUUCAGGAGCUAGGCGGGAAAGAAAAGCACUUUCAUUUUCAAACAAAUGCAGGAAAUGCUUAGCCAGCCGUUGCAGAAGCACUUGUUGGUGCAGAAGCACUUGUUAGUGAGUGAUCGCUUGUUAGUUAGUUUUCUUAAUGAGAAGUAUCGCUUGUUUUGGGUGAGUCUUUCUAAUAUGCUGUGGUUAGUUACUUCAUUCAUAUGCAACCUAAGCUAACGCUUACUUCUCUUCUGGGCACUGGGCAAUAAUAAAGUCAAGGUGCUUGGUGGCUUUCCCUUUGCGUGGAGCAGGGUUUUUCGAGUUCUUUACGUUGCUGGGCUUUCCUUUCCCUUGUAGUGAUCCAAGCAUUUCAGUUCAGAGGAAGCUGUCAACCUUACAAGUCAUAAUGUUACGCGUUAUAAUAGUUUCUACCCUUAACUAAAGCAAGCUGUCAACCCAACAAUAAACUCUCUCGUACGACGUCAAACCAAGAAUCUAUAUCGUAAACCACUUUAGCACCCAAAGGAACAACACUUGAAGAUUCAUAAUGGAAUUGAAACUCUCCAACAGUCCAACGAAUGCAUUUGUAGCCUAGAGCAAGUCCUUUCUGCGUUGGCUAUGUUAGCACAUAUACUGUUUUCGCCUGGAGCAAGUUCUUAUUUCGUUGAUUGAAACCUUGCUUUUUCACUAGCUUCUUGACUUUGCUUUAUAUACGGAAUUCGUGUUGAGCCGGUAAGUUUCUAAUUACGUAUAGAAAAAGAGAAUAUUCUGUGAGACUACGACUUUAUACUACUUGUUUGGUCUGCAAGAGAAGUUAUUGUGUCCGUAACUCUCAAAAGGUAGGCUUUUCAGAGAGAGUGAAGUUUGGGGGAGACGAAGCUGUGCUAAGGGAAGCUACAAUUCCAGUUUCGUUUGUGGAAAAAGAUAGUAUUGGCUCUUAAGCUAGCAAGGUGUCGUGGACGUAGAGAGUCUCUUUGUGCUUCUGAUGCGCUAAGUCCUGAUUACCCUUACGCUCUUUCAGCUUUACUUGGAAAUAAGUCUUCUUGCCCAACACAUACCUUAACCUUGAUUAUUGCCUUCUUAUGCUUAAGUAUAGGGUUCUAAGUCUACCGAGAGAAGUUAUUGACCUGACCGCGAGAGAGGAAAUGAAUGAUUCAGACAGGACAGACCCAGACUUCAGCACUAUAAUAAAUGGUAAGUGGAAGGAUUCUUUGUAUACCUUACUGAGUUUGACAGAAAGAAGGGAAUAGAGUAUCUCGCUCGUAUCGAGAAGCCGAGCCUAGAGAAGAAUCUUUUGAAGUGAAAAAGUAAGCUGCUGUCAGAGUUCAAUUAACAGUUUUCCUUGGUGAAAGUGAAAUGACUGUUUUCGUCUUGUUCUGUUCGCAAGUAAGUUGAAAGUCAUUCUGCUCUUUCUUGUUAAGGUCUUACCAGAGAGAGAAUCCGCAUGAGAGUUGAGUGUUGCGGUAAGGACGGGACAAUCUGUUUACCAUGAUAUUGCCUUAUUCCCCGGGACCUGAAUUAUGUCCUUCUUCAGUGCUAACGAGCAACAGAUGAAGCAGUUAGAGGAAAGUAGAGAAGUUAUGUUGCUGCAAGUGAACCAUCAAGUGAAGAAGCUGUGUUAGCUCCCGAAUAAGCUGUUCCAAAGUAAGCUGCAAACGGGUAGUCUUAAGUUGAAGUCUGAACUUCCCGGUGGUGUUCUUGUUUUGUCAACGAGAUCAGGAUCUUAAUAAAGAGAAGAUAAAGGAUCCGGCGUGAAAGUAGGGGGAAAGGAAGCUGCAUCGCCUGUUGCAAGGUUGAGCCUCAAGUCAGCGGGAAAGAUAGAUGGAUCAGACUCAGGCGCUGGGUUAAGGACAUAAUGUAAAGGCUUUGAAGCGUUAGCGGUUCCAACUUCAAGUUUCGUUCAAGGAUAGUUUGGGAGAGUGUAAGUUGAAGCGGAAGCAAGAUCGGAUCGGAAUCUUAUUCAAAAGACAGAGAACCUGGGUAUUUACUUGACUCUAUACUACAUGUGCUCGAUAGAUGAAAUUCCAUUCAUUCAUAUUGCCCCAUACUAAAGGCAAAGUUGUUGACAGAAGAUCCCCUGCUUGAAAAUGCAUUUGAGCCUAAGAAAUAGUCCUAUAGCUCUUAAACAUCAACUGAAACAAUAACUUCCAACUCCACUUGAAGAAACGAACUCCACUUUACUUCCAGCACUUGCUGCUAAUGACAAAACCUCUUCUGAUCUAAUUACUAUUUAUAUUGCACAGAGACCCUUAUUUAGCUUAUUGCCUCUUUAUACUUUACUGUGGAGCUGACUUCCUUUCUCUACGAAAACUAAGGUCAAACCAAUCACUGACACCGACCUUUCACAGUUCUGAACCAACAACGCAUGAACCUCUAGCGUAAACAAAGAGCUACGCUACCCUUAGACACAAGUAGAAGAUCGAACCUCUCUCCCACCAAAAGAACAAGACUCCAAGUUUCGCUAACCAACUUAUAAGAAUCGCUAUGACCAGACUUUAGCCUUAUUCUCGGCUGGCUUCAAUUCCAUUCAUCUUUAUUGAGGAUAAGACUUAUUGCCAACAGGAUAAGACGGAUUGCCUACUUCCCUUCCCGACCCGAACUCUACUACAAGGAAGAAGAAAGCCCUUCACUUUCUUG
Molecule: long non-coding RNA, 16927 nt
Filed under: Musa acuminata (dwarf banana)
Lineage: Eukaryota; Viridiplantae; Streptophyta; Magnoliopsida; Zingiberales; Musaceae
Description: long non-coding RNA (MACU_LNC007985)
Source: RNAcentral